This 362-nucleotide RNase P RNA is filed under the name Gammaproteobacteria bacterium. Its description in RNAcentral is "RNase P RNA component class A". It matches the Rfam family "Bacterial RNase P class A". From Rfam's summary of the family: Ribonuclease P (RNase P) is a ubiquitous endoribonuclease, found in archaea, bacteria and eukarya as well as chloroplasts and mitochondria. Lineage: Bacteria; Pseudomonadati; Pseudomonadota; Gammaproteobacteria. The record is from RNAcentral.
GUAGUCAGCCAGACAGUCGCUCGUGCGUUCUACGCGCGGGAGGAAAGUCCGGGCUCCACAGGGCAGGGUGCCAGGUAACGCCUGGGCGGCGUGAGUCGACGGAAAGUGCAACAGAAAGUAUACCGCCGAUGGCGCUGGCGACAGUCAGCGCACAGGUAAGGGUGAAAUGGUGCGGUAAGAGCGCACCGCGCCGGUGGCAACAUGCGGUGGCGAUGGAAAACCCCACCCGGAGCAAGGCCAAAUAGGGGUGCAAUGGCGCGGCCCGCGCUGCACCCGGGUAGGCUGCUUGAGGUUUGUGGCGACGCAAAUCCCAGAUGAAUGACUGUCCACGACAGAACCCGGCUUAUCGGCUGACUACCUUU